Molecule: long non-coding RNA, 2550 nt
Filed under: Nicotiana benthamiana
Lineage: Eukaryota; Viridiplantae; Streptophyta; Magnoliopsida; Solanales; Solanaceae
Description: long non-coding RNA (NBEN_LNC042410)
Source: RNAcentral
GACCUUUGAACUUUUCAUCUAUCAGACUCUCUCUAGCCCACUCUGAAACCCUAAUCAUCUCCCACAUGUUUCUACCAUGUUUCCACCAGAAUAUAUGCUACUCCAAGACAUGGAUGACAUGUGCUCACUCUCUCUCACCAUUAAACCUAUGCUACUCGAAGUUUGGAGGCCCGACUUCAAUGGAUCUCUUUAGAUCUGUAGAUCUAUGGCCUCUCCGGCCAUUAUUCCAGCGUGUUCGAUCAUUAUGAGUCUCUUCGACUCAGGAUCCAACUAUGAUCAAGACCUUUCUCAUUCUAGGGUUUUCUCUGCUUUUAAGCCGUCUGAGGUUCUGUACUUGCUAUUUCUUUUAGAUUUGUGACAUGUAUGGUAUUUGCUUGACUUAUUAAAGGUUUUCCCCAAAUUUCCUUUUCAAAAUCGCUCAAAUUCGAUUUUAGGGUUUCUGAAAAAAGAUUUCUUCAAAUACCUUUCUAAAUCUUCUAUUCUUUCUUUAUAUGUGCCUUGUGCUCGAUUAUUUUCUUUUACCAUGCAUGAGUUUUCUCUCUUGCCUCUUCUCUAUUAUUCAGGACUUUUCUAUUUUGCUCGCAUGAUUAAUUCGUGUUGUUAAUCCUCAUGCUUUGCUGUAUGUGUUUAUGUUUGAGCUCUUUGAUUUUGUUCACCUUACUGAGUUCUGUUUUUUUUCAUGCUAAACAUGUUUUACCUACUUUGUUUAAAGGUCGUAAUAUCUCUUUCUUCUGAAACUUGUUUAAAUUCCAAGUUCUAUCAAGCAUGACUUUGAGUCAGUGUUCUUGCUAUCGUGUGGGUUUGUCUCUCAUAAGUCUUUGAAAGAGACUUCUGAGCUUCUUUCAAUGACCAGUUUCUCAGCUCUUUGUCUGACUCUAUUCGAAACCCUAGGUUUUGGGUGGUAUCUUUGGCGAAAUGUUAUUGUGGAACCCUAGGCUUUCAGACUCAUUAAGAGCCUGUAAUUGAACUUGAAUCUCCUUCGCUUGUUACUUUGAGACUUUCAGUGUUAAACUAUUUUUCUAUAGUAAAUGAAUCUUCUUUUUGAUAUGUGUGCUUUACAUAUGAGAAAAUUCUUCUUUCAACAGGGUUUCACCAACCAAAUGAUUGAUUCUGAAAUCCGUUUAAUAAGGCUAAGUAUUUGUCACUGAUUUUUCGAUUAAAACUCCUUUACCCUAUUGGCUGUUUACUUGGUAUUUUUGUGUAAAAAUCUCUGGUUUGUGAUGCUUUCAUUAAAUACAUGAUCUUGUGUAUUCCUUCUAUAAUUAUGUACCAAAUUUUAAAUUAUUUUUAUAUUUAUGUGACUCUUUCCUUAAUUACUUUAGAUUCCCUGUGAUUACAAUUGGUUUCGGGAUCCUCUUGGUUGAUUUUCGAACUGAUGCCCUAUUUUUUUACUUUAUUAAUACAUUGUUAUUCCAACUUUCCUUAAUUGCCCACUAUGUAUUUGGCCUUGUUUAUGCAUUAUUGGUUUAUUUUCCCUAAUCAACCUUACAAACUGAUUUCUUUUCCUUAUUCUACCUUGACCAAUUGUUUGAACUAGACUCCUUAAUUAAAGGAGUCCAAUUGUCUUAAUUGACACUAAUUGAUUGCUAUUUCCAUGUUUGUGUACUCUUUUCUAUGUACUACUUUUUUUCAAAACUAUAUAAAGACAUUUCGUCCCUCUUUAAAAACACACGGAGAUUCACACGAACAAAACACCUCCAAUCGUAUACUUUCUGGAAAUAUGUUUUAAAUCAACACUCUGCUUUGCUUGAGAUCUUUUGGAGUUACUUUGUUUGCAAAUUGGAUUUCUCUCAAGACUACUAUUUUUUUACUUGUUUUCCUUUGAAACUGUUAUGUUUUUCAUUUAGUUUCUGCCUCAUCCCUAUGUGUUUACCUUACAGUUCCAACAUUUUCAUUUACUUUACUGAUCAUGUUCAGUGAUUUGUGUUAAUUAUUUUCCUUUCUUGCUUUUGUUUCUAUUAUGAAUCCCUUCCUAUAUUCCCUUCAAUGUGUUUGAGUUAAGGUUCUUGGACUUGCAGUAUCUUAAUUACUGCCCAAGCUAUAACCUGAUCCACAAUGGAUCCUAACUCCUCAGUUUGGCUAACAGGCUGGUCAGGGGUGUGCAGCAUUCCCAAUUGCUGGGCAUGACCACCAAACUUCCAUGGCUCUCCCUCAUUCCCAUCCCCCUAUGCACUUAAACUUAUUCUUAGACUAUUAAGUUCUGCACCUCUUUUAUGAGAAUUGCUUUGGGACCGUGAGUUCCCUCUGAACUUGGACAUCUGAGGGCUGACAUUUCCACACUGCACUAUGUUCUUAAUUAUGCAAUGUUUUGGGGUGUAAGCACUGCCGGAGUCCUUUAAGACUCUUGGGAACUUUGUCACAUCCCAAAUAUGAGAAAGGCUUUUGAAAAUCUGAUCCUAGAAGUUGGUUUAUAUCAUAUUGUUGGACUUUGAGUCUGAAUUAGGCUGUAUGGAUGUAGUUGGAGCUUUCUGAUGUAAUUUUAUUUUUCUUUUCUGGUUCAUUCGGGUCUGUAAUAGUAUGUAAUAACUAUUGGGGAUGGUUAGUGGAAAG